GCCGGGUGUGGUGGCACGCGCCUGUAAUCCCAGCUACUCAGGAGGCUGAGGCAGGAGAAUCACUUGAACCUGGGAGGCAGAGGUUGCAAUGAGCCGAGAUCGCGCCAUUGCACUCUAGCCUAGGUGACAGAGCGAGACUCUGUCUCAA
RNAcentral lists this non-coding RNA (148 nucleotides) under Gorilla gorilla gorilla (western lowland gorilla). The record is from Rfam by way of RNAcentral. Lineage: Eukaryota; Metazoa; Chordata; Mammalia; Primates; Hominidae.